CUUGGUUCUGGCGUUCAUAUAAAUAAAAGAGACAAACAUGUAUGAUUUACAACUCUAGAUUAACCAACCCAACUGAUUCAACAUGUUUAGUCCUUUAAUCCUUGUUCUUAGUACUACCUCCAUGAUCCCACACUCCUAAUCAUAUGAGCUAAAAUGUUACACAUUCAAUCAUUGAGAGAUAUAAAGAAAAAGACAUAUACAUAGAUAGAUUAUCUUUCCAUAAGGUUGAGCGAUCUGAUCUGACAAAUGUUAUAAGUGCUACACUCAUGAACUUUUCAUCCAUCAACUUUGUCUUGCUCACUAUGCUUAGGGUUAGAGAAGAACAAAUACACUUUAGGUUCUGUUGGUGUUUUCCACCAACAGGGCCCAUGCACUUGAUCUCUGCCUUGUCUCUAUGAGUAGGUACACUUUGAGCAAAACACGGAGGAGUUUUAUAACUCUCAGACUCUACCAAGUGAAGGACCUGGAUCUACGAGCACAAACACACUGAGCAGGAUACUGCCAACGCCGCACUUCGAACUGCUGGGCGAACGAAGAGGUGCAGACGUCAAGGUCCACACCUGAAUCAAAUGACGCACCUGAAGAAUGAACACGGUGAGAAGUCUUGUUAAGAAGACUUAAAACAUUGAACCCUCGCGGAAAGAUAAGAUCGGUAGUUAUCCAUAUUUAUCCUUUAUGCAUUCCCUUUUCCCUUCAAUUAUUUACUUUCCUUAAAUAGAUUAUUAGUUAAUCAUGCCAUCUUGAAAAGAAAAUAAAAAUGUUAAAAAAUACUAAGCCCCAUGUGAGUAUACGAGUGGCAUAAAACCCAUAAGUACCUUCACUGUGGUGGCAUAAAAAUAAAAUAAAUAUUUUUUUUCUGCUUUAUAAAAAAAAAAUACAAAAAUAGGGAGUAAUAUUUAUUGAGGAAGCUCAACAUGAUGAAGGCUAGAUAUUUAUGCUAACACUUAAUUAGUUCCACAAGCUUUGUUAUCUAUUUGAGCUCCACUGCCACCUGCUAGCUACAUCAAGAGAAAUUACGUCAAAAUUCAGCUUGGGGGAGAGCACCCUCAUUUAUCUCGCUAAGUAUUUCUACCUAUCUUUAUACUUAUAUUAUAUUCGAAUAUUAAAAUACAUAAACUAUGAAAAACCAAAUAAAGAUUUUGUGAUUAUAUAUCUUUUGCUUAGUGUGUUUAAUAAAUAAAUAAAGUGGCUAUGCUAAUCUGAAUCUUAAUAAUAAAACUCUAGCAUGGAUAUGAUGAAUAGUUGCUCUGCCCAAUUUGCAAAUUUGAAGUUCUCUCUCAAGUUUAGACAUAACUGUUAUAAUUUAAAGCUUGCUCUAGAUCUAAACUUGUGGGAUGAAAACUUGAUCUGAAAUCUAAGUUGUUAACGGAUAUGAUAUGGGAAGGCUGAGCUGCUGUUUAUCUAUUCCUAGAGAUGCUAGAAUUCUGGAGAAUUUUAUCUUUGAAAAAUCUUUAAAAUAUUGCAUGAUGAGUUCCUGUAUGAUGAGAGUUUAAAUUCCUACCACAGCCAUAUAUACAUGCUUGCUAGACUUUGAGCCACACAUUUAAUAUUUACUGCUUAUGAGCAUUGAGUGUGUUCAAGCUGUGUAGACCCUUAGGAGUUUGUCAUGUGGUUAAAUCAAGAUUUCACUUGCACAUUCACUCAUAUAUGCUACUUCUACUCCGGAAGUACCAUCCACAUAUAUCCAUCCAUGUCCAUCUCCAGAAUCACCCAAAAAUAUUCUACUCCUAAUCCGAGAGAGAAUGGCCAAAAAUAUUUCUGUUUUUUCCUUGUGAAAAAAUGCUCAAGUUAUCUUGUUACUACCACUUGCUAUAUUAUCUCAUGAGAUGAGUGCUCUAAAAAAAAUAGAAGGGAGAGAAAAAAUAUACGAGGAAAUAAAAAGGGACAAGUGCCCGGAACCUCGAAAGAAAAAAAACAGUGAGACAAGAGGUAAAAAUGGACAAGUGUCCGACAGUAGAAUUAGGGGUACAGGAUACCCACCUGAGAGGAAAGAAAAAUGAAAGAUAGAGCAUCUCAUUCUCCUCAUAAAGUUUUAAAAAGCAAGGAAGGUAUGUAUCCCCUUAAAAGAGCAAAAGUAGAAUUAGACUUCCACCAUUGUUAUCACCAUCAUCACCAUACACCAUUCAUUCGCCACACAUGCACAUCUUGAUUUGAGUUAUUGACUUGUUUCUCUGGAUCCAUGGUUUGACUAUGCAAUAAAUGUCUUGUAAGUAUGUAUUAGCUGUCUCCCACCUAUGAGCUCCAGAUAUUAAAGCCUUAUUAGAGUAGGGUGAGAGAGAAGGCAAUGUCACUAUGCCUUAUACCACAAAUACCAUAUAUCUUGAGAGAAGGCAUAUACCAUCACUGCCUUGGUAAGGAUCUAGAAAUACCACAAAAGAGAGAUUUAGAGAGUCAUACAUGGAAUCUCUGAGUUUUAUUUGAAAAUCUGCAAAAACUCCAGAGCUAUAGCUGAUCAAGAAUAAGAGACAUGGCACUUGGCUAGACUGUUCUAUCUUUUAACUAC
This 2503-nucleotide long non-coding RNA is filed under the name Sorghum bicolor (sorghum). RNAcentral describes it as "long non-coding RNA (SBIC_LNC017088)". The record is from RNAcentral. Lineage: Eukaryota; Viridiplantae; Streptophyta; Magnoliopsida; Poales; Poaceae.